AGAGACUACCCCCUCUUCCCUUCCCCAGCCCCCCCAGGCCUCACAGCCCUCCCCAGCCAGGUCCCGAGGCAGGCCUGUGACGUGGUGUCCCUGCUCACAACAACAACACUAGCCAUGGCAAGUUUCAACGAGGAUAGCCUGAAAAAGAAGUUAGAUGACCUGAACAUGUCCCAGCAAUCCAUCCAGACAGUGUCCCUCUGGCUGAUCCACCACAAGAAACACGCGCACACUGUGGUCAAUGUGUGGUACAGGGAGCUCAUUGCUGCCACAGACUCCCGGAAGCUUACGUUUAUGUACCUCGCCAAUGACGUGAUCCAGAACAGCAAGAAGAAAGGCCCGGAGUACAACAAGGAGUUCGCCAACAAGCUGGGCAAGGUGUUUGAGCAUCUUGGGGGAAUCCGCCUCGACGAGAAGUCUGUGCAUGGCCUCAACCGGCUACUCACAGUCUGGGGUGAACGGAAUGUGUUUGACCAUGAAAAGGUUAAGCUCUUCAAAAAGAAUCUCAAUAAGGGAUUAAAGAUUAAGGAAGGCGGCGGCAAAAAACGACAACAUGGAAGUAAACACAAGAAAGAAUCCUCUAAAAAGCAGCGGAAGGAAAGUGUCGAGUCAACAGAAUCAUCUCGCUUGAGGAAGGACAGUGAAGGAGACCUGUCCCCUCAGACCACCCCACCCCCCAGUGACCCCCCUGAGCCUGAGCAGCUGAUUGAAGCUUUGCAGGAACUUGAGAGUGCAGCUACCUCAGAUGCAGUUGUUCGUGAAAAAAUUGCAAGCCUUCCAGAUGAAGUGUCUGACGUGUCCCUCCUCACCAAGCUUCAAGGUGAGGACUUGAAUGCAGCUCGUGCCCUUAGCAAGAAGGUGGAGGAUGCCAUGGCAAUGUUGGAAACGUACAAUAAGAGACUGUCAGAGGAGAUGGAGGCUCGUAAAAUGGUGGCAAGGAUGCUACAUGACUAUAUAACCUAUCAGAAAGACCUCCUUGCCCAGGCAGAGGAGACCCUAGAGGAGCACCGGCAAAAACACAAUAAAGUCAAAAAGGUGCGGGACGAGCUGAAGGCACAUCUACAAAACCUACCUGACAUUUCAAAGCUUCCCAGCAUCCGCACAGGCAGCCUGGCGCCGCUGCCCUCUGCUGGCGACCUCUUCACGUGACUCUCUCCAGCCUGGUGGCCCAGUAACAGACUCAUAAUGCUGUGAAUAUUGUGAUAAUCAACGUUCAGAUCCACCACCACCAGAGAGAGAGAGAGAGAGAGAAAGCUACGCCACCAUCAUGAGCGUUUGGAUUCAGAAUAGGAAGAAAGACGUAGAGAAGAUUAUAUGUAGUAAUAGAGAUGUUAAUGGGCACUACCAUUCCUCCACUCGCCAUCCUGCCCUCGCCUCCUCCCUCUUCAUUCUUCAUCAGUCCUCAGCAUUGUGCCACCAUUUCUCCAUUCACCAAGCCUCAUCCCUCAACUCACAUUUCUUCCCACCUGAUGCAGUGACAGAGUGGCUGAGCAAAGUUCAUGUGUGGAAUAGUUUUCUGUUCAUAGUAUUGCAGACGUUCCUAGCAGGCAAAGGGUGUCUGAUGUACAUAGAUCAACCAGUGCAAUGAAAAAGACAUUCGAAAAAUUACUUUUAUGAUAUUUCAAAAUGUUUGUUUUGAAUUGUGACAUAUAAGGACAAGAUAUCUUAGGAACUCUACUGUACUUUUUAAGGAAGCAUCUUAGUUGUAUGUGUAGCAUUGCAAUUGUUUUUAUUUUAGAUACUAUAAUUAUGUAUAUAGAGACAGAUCAAUUCAUUUAUAGAAGAGAUAAUUGUUACUAAAAAAAAGUAAGGUUAUUAGAACAUUUUACUUGGGAUUAUUCAGUGUGUAUUUGCCAAAUUGUAUUGUGUAAAGUCAUUUACACCAUUGUUAAUAAGGAAGCGUUAAGCAACACCUUCCUGUUUCUCAGGGGGCGGCCAUCCCAUGCAUGUCUUCCUGUGGCACUAGGGGGUCAUUUCAAACUCAAGUGGGAGUUGUAGGGUGAGCUAUGAUUAUUUUUGAAGGCUGUCUAGCAGCUUGACAUCCCCUAGGAAUGAUGCUGGUGAGGCAAAAUGCUGAGGUGUUUAAAUUUUUUACUCUCCCCAUCAUGAGUAUGUAUAGCAUAGCAGUAAACAGACCCAUGAAGUGUGCUAAAAAUUAAGCUGCACAUAGAAUUACUCCAGGUAGCUUCACAAUUAUUUUCCUUUGCUUGAUACAGAUGGAAGUGGUGUUCACUCAUUUACUGUAUUAACUUGGUUGUAAGUUCUGCCAGAGAUCGUUCAUUGAAUUGUAGUGGUUAUUUAACAGCUCUAUAGGCUCAGACCUUAGGAAGUUGACAAUGAUUAUUACUAUGUAAAUGUUGCCUUGCUAUGAUCUUUGAAUUUUGAAUGAAACAAAAGCAGGGCACAUGAAAGGACUUCAUUAACUGAGUUCAUCUCUGUUAUUUAGACACCAAGCUUUGAGUUCCCCUCCUCAGUACUGUAGGUGAGCAUUAGGCAGAGAACUGCUUCCCUCCCCGCUGCCCUCACUCCUCAAGCAUCUAAUAAGUAUUACAGUCUCAGCACAUUGGGUUGUGGCAACAGGUGACUUAAGGUCAAUCAAUACUGUGUUACUUGAGUAUAUAAGAUUGUGUGCAGUGUGUUGUUCGGUGUGCAAGUUCAUGCAUUGCCUUAUUCUGCAUGAGUAUCAAUGUGUAUACUAUACAUGUAUUAAACUAGUGAAACAUU
This 2721-nucleotide unclassified non-coding RNA is filed under the name Portunus trituberculatus (swimming crab). RNAcentral describes it as "regulation of nuclear pre-mRNA domain-containing protein 1B-like, transcript variant X1". The record is from RNAcentral. Lineage: Eukaryota; Metazoa; Arthropoda; Malacostraca; Decapoda; Portunidae.